CGAUCUAUUUCGAUCAGGUCCC
Molecule: microRNA, 22 nt
Filed under: Pristionchus pacificus
Lineage: Eukaryota; Metazoa; Nematoda; Chromadorea; Rhabditida; Neodiplogasteridae
Description: ppc-miR-8280-3p
Source: miRBase by way of RNAcentral